ACACCAAAAUCUCAUAAUCCAAUGAGCAUAUCAUCAAAUCCUUAAGCAAAUGGAUAAAUUAUUUUUGUAUAUGACCAUUUAUAUUACAUGCCAAAAGAAUCAUACUCUUUUCAAGCAUAUACACCUAUAAUGCAUUCUUUUGAAAUUAGUGUUUCACAUAAAUAUUUUUUGUUCAAAUAUUUUGUCAUCAUCAAAAAGGGGGA
RNAcentral lists this long non-coding RNA (203 nucleotides) under Elaeis guineensis (African oil palm). RNAcentral's name for it is "long non-coding RNA (EGUI_LNC027781)". Lineage: Eukaryota; Viridiplantae; Streptophyta; Magnoliopsida; Arecales; Arecaceae. The record is from RNAcentral.